UUUCAUUGUCCAUGAUGCUGCUCAUUAAUUCCUUCAAUUUUCACAGCCGGAUUUUAAACAGAUCAGCAGCUUUGCUGAGGUAUUUUUAAACAGGAACAAAAAUAGAUCUACGGUGAAGUGGCGAAUGAAUUUCAUGCUUCUUGGAGCGGUGUCAGUCACAAGAAACGCUUGCAGGAAUAUCUGAGGUCCGCCAGCACAGAAUACUGGCCUUAUACUCUACAUCCCUUCCUGCCGCCCAUCCCAUCGCUGCCUUGAUUCGCAUGGGGAAGUUAUUGACAAGAGCACAGAGGGAUGUGGAGCUCAUCUGAAGUAGUAAGAGCUUCACGUUAAACUUCUCUGGCAUCCUGGAUAUUAUCGAGAGGACUCGCAGCGCAGAACUUGGUGGCAACUCCUACCAAGAACAAAGGACGGAUGUGAGGGCUCUGAUGGCAGAUAAGGAGUUUGUUAGAUGAAUGUGUGAGCAGGUGACACAUCAUCUGGGGACUAGUGACCCACGUCCUGCUUACAGAGGAAUCUAAGCAUUACGCACAUCUGAAUCUGUUCCUCGGAGACUUGCAGUCAGAGUGGGUGGAACAGUGAUGGAACAGUCCUUACAGAUGACACUGCAGUUGUGACCCGCUGGGCUGGCUACAUUGAGCAGUUGUUUAAAGUUGACCCUCCAGCUGCCUGUCUUACUGUAUGGCUGUGAGACAUGGACAAUAUCCAGUGAGCUGAAAUGAAGACUGGACUCCUUCGGUACUGUGUCUCUACCGUGUGCUGGGCGCUGCAACCUAACCUGUUUUUGCGUUUUCAUCUCACAUUUGUCCAUGUUCUUGUACGUGUUUAUAGAUUUUUAAUGUUGCGUCGUAUUAGCAUGAUUGUGCAUGGUUGUCCCUAAUGUUUGUGCGUAGCACAGAGAAAUAUGUGCAACAGUGCAUUUUCAAAAUCCAGUGCAACGCAGCGUACUAGUGGAAUCAUCAUAAAUUGCUUUCUGUGAAAUAUAUAAUGUUCUAGCAAAUCACAGAAUGUGUGCGUUGAUGCAAAGCGCAAGGCAAUGCGCAGUGGGAACAAGCCCUUAGUAAUAAUUACUCAGUUACUAGUUAAGUACAAAUUGUAAAUAAAUGUCGUAGCCACUUGAGAUAAAAGAUAUGCAUCAUCAUUCAUUAAACAAACAUGAGAUCAUUAUUUCACUUGCAUUAGGCCUAUUCAUUAUUUGUUCCUUCAGUAGUUCCUUCAGUAGUUCACAAAAGAUUAAAGAAUUAACAGAUAUAAUAACAAAUAUACUAAUUGCUUGAGAUAAAAGACGUCACGAUUCAUUAAUGAUGAAGGAACAUGAGAUUUGUAUGUACCUAAGACUUAGUUGGUGUUUAGUUAAUGCAUUAAAGUAAUAACAUAAUACUACCUUAUUCGUGUCCAGUCAAGUAAAGUGUUACCAAAAAAAUAUAUAUUACUCAAAAGAAGGAAAUCCUUCAGAGCUCACAAUGUGGACUACGGUGAUUAACAGUAAGAUGUCAACAAAUGCAGGGGUUUAACCUUAAGAAUAAACAGUAAAU
Molecule: long non-coding RNA, 1532 nt
Organism: Paramormyrops kingsleyae
Lineage: Eukaryota; Metazoa; Chordata; Actinopteri; Osteoglossiformes; Mormyridae
Source: RefSeq, a predicted model, not a curated record